This 440-nucleotide ribosomal RNA is filed under the name uncultured bacterium. Its description in RNAcentral is "partial 16S ribosomal RNA". It matches the Rfam family "Bacterial small subunit ribosomal RNA", at positions 338 to 795 of the family's 1533-position model. The record is from RNAcentral.
CCUACGGGUGGCAGCAGUAGGGAAUAUUUCUCAAUGGGGGAAACCCUGAAGCAGCAACGCCGCGUGGAGGAUGAAGGUUCUUGGAUUGUAAACUCCUUUUGUUAGAGAAGAUAAUGACGGUAUCUAACGAAUAAGCACCGGCUAACUCCGUGCCAGCAGCCGCGGUAAUACGGAGGGUGCAAGCGUUACCCGGAAUCACUGGGCGUAAAGAGCGCGUAGGCGGGAUAGCAAGUCAGAUGUGAAAUCCUAUGGCUUAACCAUAGGACUGCAUUUGAAACUGUUAUUCUAGAGUAUGGGAGAGGUAGGUGGAAUUCUUGGUGUAGGGGUAAAAUGCGUAGAGAUCAAGAGGAAUACUCAUUGCGAAGGCGACCUGCUAGAACAUAACUGACGCUGAUGCGCGAAGGCGUGGGGAGCGAACGGGAUUAGAUACCCCUGUAGUC